CUUACAAACUGUGGAAGCACAUUUCUUGUGUGACCGCGUACUUUUUGUAGAACGGGCCAACGAGUUACGUUAUGCAGCAAGGUUAAGUACUUCAAGUAUGCAGCCGCAGCGAAAGCGAGUUUUAACUGAGCGUUUAGUUGCAUGACGUANNGUGGAGGACCGAACCCACGAGCGUUGAAAAGCUCGGGGAUGACUUGUGGAUAGCGGUGAAAUUCCAAUCGAACCCGGAGAUAGCUGGUUCUCCCCGAAAUAGCUUUAGGGCUAGCCUCGAUACAGAUUUGCGGAGGUAGAGCACUGAAU
RNAcentral lists this ribosomal RNA (300 nucleotides) under Acinetobacter baumannii. RNAcentral describes it as "partial 23S ribosomal RNA". It matches the Rfam family "Bacterial large subunit ribosomal RNA", at positions 563 to 915 of the family's 2925-position model. Lineage: Bacteria; Pseudomonadati; Pseudomonadota; Gammaproteobacteria; Moraxellales; Moraxellaceae. The record is from RNAcentral.